GAUGAACGCUGGCGGCGUGCCUAAUACAUGCAAGUCGAGCGAACAGACGAGGAGCUUGCUCCUCUGACGUUAGCGGCGGACGGGUGAGUAACACGUGGAUAACCUACCUAUAAGACUGGGAUAACUUCGGGAAACCGGAGCUAAUACCGGAUAAUAUAUUGAACCGCAUGGUUCAAUAGUGAAAGACGGUUUUGCUGUCACGUAUAGAUGGAUCCGCGCCGCAUUAGCUAGUUGGUAAGGUAACGGCUUACCAAGGCAACGAUGCGUAGCCGACCUGAGAGGGUGAUCGGCCGCACUGGAACUGAGCCACGGUCCAGACUCCUACGGGAGGCAGCAGUAGGGAAUCUUCCGCAGUGGGCGGAAGCCUGACGGAGCAACGCCGCGUGAGUGAUGAAGGUCUUCGGAUCGUAAAACUCUGUUAUUAGGGAAGAACAAAUGUGUAAGUAACUAUGCACGUCUUGACGGUACCUAAUCAGAAAGCCACGGCUAACUACGUG
RNAcentral lists this ribosomal RNA (497 nucleotides) under uncultured bacterium. RNAcentral's name for it is "partial 16S ribosomal RNA". It matches the Rfam family "Bacterial small subunit ribosomal RNA", at positions 28 to 507 of the family's 1533-position model. The record is from RNAcentral.